GGGGACAUACAGUACCUCACCACCCGACCCUCCUGAAGCUGGUGUUUGGAAGACCCCUGCUGCUGCUGAUUCUGGUUCCUCCCGAAAACCUGCUGGUGAUUGAUGGGAAGCCACCAAAACACAUUGUCACGUCAUGAGGAGCAGAGGACAGCCUGGGACUCUCAUUUCUCCUUCUCUUUGGGGGGUGAAGAGUUGACAGAACUAAAUGGACAUGCCACAAGCACUGGAGGCUGGGGACAUGGAAGAGCAGAAGCCCCUAGCAGCGUUUGGGAUGCUGAAAGAGUGCUGCGCAGGGACAUACAUCUGGAUAUCAAGGCCUUUGUUUAUAAGAGUGAUUGCUUUGCCAUGUCUCCUCGAGGACCUGGCUGAGCAUCCAAAGAGGAUACAUUUGCUGUCACCUUUAGCAGAUGUGGACUGGCCUGUACUCUGCUGUGGUGCUCUGGGUACCUGCAUGUGGUGUCCCAUCACCAGCACUUCUUCCUCUUGGGGGUCUUGCUGCCCACAUAUCCGGCAGCUUCACUUUUCUUUGCCUAUUCCUCUCAUCCUCUACUUGGACACUGUAAGAGAACUGUGCAGGGACAAUUCUUAGUCAGGCUAAGGGGUUUGCUUCAGCUGUGGUACUUGGGUCCUCCCCUCCUUCAUCCUUUCCAUGGCCAGCGGGUGUGGAGGCAGGCCCCACAAUGUGGGCUGUGCUCCCUGACCCCGAGGGCCGGCACUGGCAGUUCAGGGACACCACCAGCAGGGCUAACCUUGGCCUAUAGUACAGCUCCCCUGCAUCUCUGAGGCUUACUAGACAAGGAGGUCCCUUGGCCUGCAGGUCCGCUUGCACAAACAUCAAUGAGAGAACAAGCACUACAUCAGGCUGUGUUCAUUCUAAAUCUUGGGGGUUGCUGGCCCCUGCCCAGGGGACACCCAUAUCUGCAGGCUGGUCUGGCUGAGAGCAGCCCUGGUUUGUCUGAGCACCGAGGGACUGUGCAAUGGCGUUAAUUAUUUUUCCAUCCUCUCAUCUCCACCAGGAAAGCAAAGGGGUUAGUACUGCUGUUUGGUGGCUCUGCCAGGAGGGAAAACACUCAGCUGAAGCCAUCUCCCGUGGCUCCCCUGCAGGCACAGGGGCGCAGCUGGAGCAUUUUGUGCUGUUUUGUGCUCUGGGCUGAGCGUCAGUUGCAGCCAAGCAAGCAGCUGAACAGGGUGGAGGCAAAUGCAGAAACUGCAGAGCUGCUCUAGGUGUGUGUGGAAGCCCUAGGAGAGGGGUUAAAUAUUGUUUCCCAUUCUCUGCAGCUCUGUCUGAGGGUGAAGCUGGGGUCCUGGGCUUGCAGGGGAAGCAGCUGCUGGCCAGACACCUGUGCUGGAUAUUGCAUCCUUUCCCAUCUGCUCCUUGCCUGCUCUCAGCAGUUUCUGUGCGUGCCCACCAGAGAGCAUCCCUGGCACAGGGCUGCUGUCUCCAGAGACAGAGCUGGGGAUGAUAGGGCUGGGUGUGAGACCAAAGCCACUUUCCUUUACCCUUUCCAGUCCUGUCACCUCCCCAAACCUGAGCUGGGUGAAGGUUAUCACCCCACUGUGUGUCCUGGGCAAGGGAAGCAUCCCACUGGCAGGAGGAUGUGCCACUGCGAGAGCCUGGCUCUCCUGCAGCAAGCACACCGUGUCUGCAGGGGAGGACGGUGCUGGGGGUUAGCAGGGAGGGUCUGCCCAACACACACGGAGCAAGUGGGGGUUCAGGCAGAGCCUAAACGUCCAAAAUUCAGAUUGGUAAAGGUCCAGUGCUUAAUGGCAGUCUCCUGAGGAAGUGCACAGACAAAUCUUUUACUUUUUGACGAUCAUUCAUCUCAAUGAGUUUAUUUGCUCGAAUAUGGAAUCGGGUGCCCUGGCAUGAUCUUGUGUGUGAGAUAAAUAUCUAGUGCUUGGUGUAUGGGGAAGGCAGAAACAUGUGCUUUCCGUGCACCUGCAGCCUUUGCAAGCAUCACCUAAACUUCAGCGCAGGCCUGAAGUCUCAGGGUGGGCAGAAAGGUUGGGGCUUAGCAUUGCACAGCUGAACCCCACCUCUAAGUAUCUCGCCUCGGCUCUCGCCCUCAGGAGGCAGAGAUGGGCAGGAGCUCUCUCUGUCCCCGUGUGCUGUGCUUGGCUGGACAAAUUCCUGCAGGUAGCUGUGGGUCAGAGGGACGUGGCCCUGCUGAACUGCAGCCCCAGCACUUGUAAGAUGGGCCUUGAAGGAAAGCUGAGGAAUGAACCAACUUGGCUAUUUUUAUCCUUGCGCAAGCCCAGGGAUUUCAAUUGACAGGAUUAGUUAUGAAGCCAAUAUUAUGAGUUUAACUAUGAGUGAAAUAACACAACUUUGUGGGAAGCGGAGUAAAAGAGGCAAUUAUGCAGUAGUUUAAUAACAGCGCUCUGCUGGCUGGGAAGCUGAAAACUUACAGUUGACAGUAAUUAGAUUUUUUUCAUUCUUCCUGUUAAAUAGCUACAAAAAUUACAAUAGAAAUUAAUCUGAUUCACUCCUAUUCCAUGCUGUUCUCAUCAUCCAGUCCGUGCCCACUUGGCUUUCAGGUUAUUUUUGUUCUGUGUUUUUCUAGUCUUUGGUAUUUUAGAAGUGCAGAAACAGUACUUAAUGUUGAAAAUAUGGAAAGCAACGUAAAAAAGGAGGCUGGGGGAGUGGGCAGUAACCCCAUCAGAAAUGCAGGAGGUGUUUGGAUGGGCAGUGAGGGCUUUCCAAAGGGAGUUGCCAGGAUUAGCAGCCAGACUUCUAAGCAUCCAUGCUUAGAGGGGUGGGAGAUGUCUGGCGAAGACCUGGGCUCAGACUAGUUUGGGCAAGGUCCUGGGUGGUCUCUAGGGUCUGCAGGGCCUCUUCUCUCCCCAAUCUUUGCUGCAGUGUGUGGUAGCAUCUCAUCCCCCUGCUGCCUCCAUCCCAAGUGAUGCUCACCUGUCAGCUGCCCUGUUUUUGAGCACUGUCCUCUUCUUUUUCAUGUAUAGGCACGGCAUGAGAAAAAACUUAAUGCUAAAACCUUGAAUUACUUUAGCAACUGUGUACUUCCAAAAUUGCAGGGUGGAACUUGAUGAGCCAGCAAAUGUGUGACAUUUCGGCUGCUUAUGAUUGUAACUUGAAAGUGCUAUGCAGCACGAAGGAAAGAGCUCUAAGGUUUGCUGUCAUCGUUGAAAGCUCAGGAUGGGAUAUUUGCUUGGAGGCUAAAAGUAUUCUUCCUCAUGCUUUCAUUUCUUUUAUAAUGCAAAAGAGCCUGCUAUGAUUAAUGACAUCCUGGUCCUGAUGUUGUGAAGUGACACGGGAUUGAACGUGGGGUUGGCUCUGAUGCCUGGCAGGAUCUCUGACACAUGUAAUAAAUAUUUUCUGCAGCAGCACACCCAACCUCACAGCUGAGCAUCUCAUUUCUUUUCCUCUGCUGUGGCGGGAGCAGCACAGUUCAGCUUCACACUUGUGUUAUAGCUUUAAAACACUCUGGAGAUGCCCAGAUCCAUUAGAGGGGCAAAGGCCACCUCCAGGUAUGUUGCAAACCCAUUUGCUUUUGCUUCUCCGCAGAAAUACACUGUGCUUUUGGCAGAUGCAAAUGUUCCAGAUGGUAUUGUGAAAAGUGGAAAUUAGAGAUUUUAUUCCAGCCCAUCUUCUCUUUAAUGAAUCCUGUCCAGCUCUCUAGUAGAGCUGUUUUUAAGGUGUAUUUAAAAUGCAUGCCAUCUUUCUGCUACCCCUAAAUCUGCAUCAGCUCAUCCCUCUCACUGGGCAGAGCACUGCUGGGCACUGCGGCCUGCCAUCCAACCUGUGUGCCUUCCAGCACGUUGUUCUGCUCGGACAGCCUGCAAAGGUUGGAUACGAUCCAUCCAUCAGGGUGUCCAGCUGUCCCGGUGCUGGGGCCAGGUGCCAGUUUGGGGACCUCACAGUAGACUGGGUGGACGAGGUGAUGAGUGGUUCGUGGGGCUGCCAAGGUAUGCAAGGUCUUCUUGCAAAGCCAUGGUGGAAGGGCUGGGAGGCUAAAAGGAGUCGUCCUCUGGGUUGUCCCUACCUGGACCUGGAUUUGGUUGGUGAGGUAGGGAGGGGAGAGCUGUCAUCUCCUCCAUUAGCUCCAUCUGGAAUGGCAUGUGUGCUCCUGGCUGUGCGUUGUGCUGAUGCUCACACGGUGCCCCAGUCACCACCCUGCAUUAGCUUAUUCCAGCAUAUUUGUGUUACAAAAUUAGAUCCAUUUUGCAAAUUGCUGCUGCGCUAGUAAUUGAAUUGAAGGGUGGUGUGUUUUUUUUCCAGUUUUUGUUGUUUCCACUUUUUUUUUUUCCACUGGAGUAAAUCAGGAAUAAGUCACAGAAUCAAGCCCUCCGUGCUUUCAGCAACAUGCUCAUUUAAAUUGGAUGCAAGAGGGUGUCUGUGUUUACAUUUGGCCUGCCAAGAAUCUCUGUUUCAGAAACUGGCUUACAUAAUAUGUCAAAAUUGGUUUACUCAUUAGCAUUGCAAACAGCGUGAAACAAGGCGCAGAUUGAUAAACUUGCAGCAAUAUUUGCAUCCAGAGCUGGGUGGCGCAGGGGGAGGGGAGGUUCAUUAGGAAACGUUCCAUUUCCAUGGGAAAAACAAACGGCUUCCAGUUAGAUCUCAGACUUUUUUAAUUUUCUGCCUUCCCAAACUUAAAUAGAGAUUGAGAGGGAAAUGUGAAAAAUCUCUGUUGGCAAACGGGCAGCCCUUGUGAGUGUUUCCUGGGCUGACGGGUUAUCUGCAGCGGCUGCUUCAGGAAUGUUUUCAGUACAGCACAGCUGGAAUGGAGGCUCUGAUAGUGCUAAUUAGGUCCUGUAAAUGUGGCAUGGGCACUGAUCUAGCUGCCUGCUCCUGCUUUAGCCUAGCCAGGCAGGUAAGAUGCAGCCUCAGACAGAGCUGAGGACCGUGGUGCCCGAUGCUGAAAACCUUCCGGCUCAGGUCCUGCGUGGUGGGAUGUGUGAAACAGGGCUGCUGGGGUGAUAAGAGCAAAUGUACUAAGAACAAAGCAGCACAGCAGUAAGAGGGUCUAAGUGUACACUGUGCUUUUGGGCUCCCUCCUUGCCCUUCCCAUCACAGCACGUGGGCUUUAGGCACUGUGCACUGGGCUGGGGGAUGUAAGGGGAGAUGGCAAAGUGCAGUGGGCAGUCAGGAGAAGAGCAGCCCCAUCUCACGCUGUUCUCCUGAGGGUGCCUCCCAAGUCUGCUUCUGGUCAGGAACCUUCUGCAGGCAGGGGCUGAGGCUCUUUAGACCCUGCAGUGGUGCAGCAAAGCUGGCAAAAAUCUGCUGGACGUGUACAGCUCUGCAGUGGUAUCUAAAGGAGUCUGGAGCUCAAAUCCCAUGAAGCAUUUUAGUCUGCUCUGAAACUCCCAGCUUAAUCAAAAGUGGAAAGCUCUGAUACAGCACGGAGAGAGAUGUGUCCUAGCAGUGCUGACACUGGCAGAGCCUGGUUUUAUGCUUGGCGAUGUAAAGUGUCCCAUCCAAUAUUUCAAAUGGAAUUUUCCAAAGGGAUCUAAUGAAGCCAAAGCAAGCACCAGUGCUGCAGGGCCUCCUGCAUCCCGAUGAGAGUUUUGCCUCAUCAGCAAGCACCAACGCAUCUGCUGUCAGCAGUGUUAGACCUGAUCCAUUCAUGGCGUGUCACCCUCUGGGAUAAAAAAAAUCAAGCUUGGGUCUCCUUCCAUCACGGAGUCUGUGUUGUGGUGUUGUUUGAAGGAGCUGUGGGAUGGGAUGGGGCAUCACCUGCUGCCACCCGUUGUGCUCUGGCUAAACCUGCACUCUGCUCCCUUGCAUCCUGUACAGGUAGCCAGGUGGGCACAUGUUCUGGAGGGCCAAGGCCUGGCAGCUCCCAGGGGCACCUCUGCAAAGCUGUUUUAAUGGACGUUUUUCAAGGUUUUCCAAGAAUUCAGUGAGUUUUUAAGUAGCUGCAAUUGUGUAGCCAUUGAUAAUGCAAGGUGAGGUGGGGAGGGAAGAUAAAAUGAUCCCACCAGAAAAUGAGACGGAGAGGUGCUUGCAUUUCACUCACUGUCACACCUUGCAACAGGAUGCUGCUCCGCAUGAGAUUCAGCAAGUUUCGGUGCCAGCCGUAGACCUGAGCACAACACAGAAGACCGUGGUUGUCUGAUCAGCGUGGCUGUGACUCGGGUAGGCAGCAGGCACAGCAGCAGGCAGAUGCUUUCCCCUCUGUUUGAAUGCACCAAGCUGUGGAGCAGCGCCUCAGCAUCUCUCCCAGGAGAACUCGCUCGGCACCAUGUCGUCUCCUUGCAGCGCUGGCUGGCAGCGAGCUGCCUCUGGAGAGGCAGGGCUGUGGUGCCAGAAGGGACAUCUGGCAGCGUGGUGGUGCAGCUCCCACUCGUGGGAAACAGGCCCAGAGGUUGGGAGCUCGUCAGGGGAUGUGUGAGCAUCCUCUGUGCCCGGGCUGUGAGCAUCCAGUGCUGGGAGUGCCAGCCCCAAAUGGACAAUCGGAAUUAUCAGAUGCGUUUGGUCCUCUUGGUUUUUAUCUUUAUGUUUUUCCCUGUGAAUUCCAGCUCUGCUGGCACAAUCUGAAUUCCACACUGCUUUGGAAAAGUAAAUGCGCUCAGAUUUUGCUCUGCAGAGAACUGUUGUCACCCAGCAGGUGUUUCUGUAUGCCAGCAUGUAACUUCUGUCUCCAAAUAAAAGAGAAAGUUCA
Oxyura jamaicensis (ruddy duck) is the source of this 6620-nucleotide long non-coding RNA. RefSeq lists it as uncharacterized. The transcript is spliced from 2 exons. Lineage: Eukaryota; Metazoa; Chordata; Aves; Anseriformes; Anatidae. The record is from RefSeq and is a predicted model, not a curated record.